GAAGUCUGAGCGAUGCCUGGAUUCAAAUUCCUGCGAGUGAUCCAUUUGAAUCGAUGCCACGCGUGCCAUCCCUCUUGUGCGUAACAUCGAAAUAGAGAAACAGCCUCCAGCUGCAGACCUAUGGGUUUCUUUUAACAUCAGCAUGCUAUAGAGCCAAGGAGCGCUGCUCCCAGGGCAGCCCAGAGCUUUCCCAGAGCAAGCGUUUGGCGGCAGCCCGCCACCUCCCAACAUGUCGCUGUCUUUCUGGCAAGGAAGUGCCCGGCACUGGAGCUAGAAUACAGGUCUUGUGUAAAGCCCUGGCAUCAUGUGAUUACGUUACAGCAAAAAACCAUCUGAUCAAGUGACUCGUGAUUGAAAAGACAGCCAGUGACAGCCCGAUCUGAAUGCACCUUCAUUUCAAAAAUAACUAUCGGGUAUCUGCAAGUCAGCUGGAAUAAUAGCAGUGGGAAGCGGGGAAGGCAGCACACCUCCGAGCGGGGUCAGGGAGCCUUCAUGCCGUUUCCAAUCUCAGGCUGUCCGAGUGCUGUUUGCUUUGCAGAUCUCGUCUGCCUUCAGUUUCCAGCUCCCCGCUGGAAGAGGCACGCGGUCGUGCCGGAGCUGGUGGGAACCUUACACCUCUGUCUGCUUGCACCAAGGCUGAACGAAAGCUCUGGUGGUUUCCUCCAUGAAGCUGCCACCAGCGCCAAUGGGACUAGGUUUUAUCAUUGCUUAUUGCAUCAAGACUGCACAAAGCAGCACAAAUCCUCUGUUGGUCUCCAAAAUCACCAAACAAGGUCAGACCGGCUCUUUUUUCUUUAUUUUAUUGUGUGGCACUGGAACUUCCGUGAAACGCGGUGCAGGGAUUCUGUGACCCGUAGGAGAGGUGAUGUUAUGAAGCUACAGCAGAAUUUUUUGACCCAAGCUUGUGUUAUGUGAAAGCCUGAGAGGCUCAUGGCGCCAUCCCAGCUAAACGCAUGGUGUGCUGAAUAAACCUACCUGCUGCACCGCACGGCAGAGCUUUUUGUGGGUAACCAGCAGGGCCUGAAGCCACAAGGAAAGGUGAAGCCAAGGAGAGAGAUGGGAGACGAGUUUAUGGGGAAGCUAAAAUGGUGGGUGUGGAGAUUUUAAUUAAUUAAUUGCAAAGCUAAAGAGAAAAUGAAUAUAUAACCAAUACAGAAAUAACUCGUGCCUAAAAAUAGUCCCAGGAAUCAGUUUAACUGAGAAUAUGCUCAGCCAAGUGAAGCCAUUUCCAAGGUGCAGGGUGAUGAGAACGGGACCCGAGCGCGCCUUGCCAUUGUCUCUUCAGCUGGAGCACUGCACGUGAGAGUCCCAAUUGCUGCUUCCUGCGUACAGCGAACCGGUAGAGAUAUUAAAUUGGGGCAUAAUGAUGAAUGAAACCGUGGGACGUGUCUUGAUUAUCCCAGGUUUCUAAUGUAUAAUUGAAUUAUUUUGGUAAGUAUAUUUCAAGCCCUUUGAUUUCUGGCCUCUGUUUUUAAUUACUCAGCCCCCUCUUGCCCUUGUGCAUUAUUAUGCUAUUCAUUAGCAUUCCGUGAGACUACAGAAGUUUGACUUCUGAAUAAAGUAGCGUACAAAAGAG
This is a long non-coding RNA of Cygnus olor (mute swan), 1576 nucleotides long. RefSeq lists it as uncharacterized. NCBI's taxonomy places the organism in Eukaryota, Metazoa, Chordata, Aves, Anseriformes, Anatidae. The transcript is spliced from 4 exons. The record is from RefSeq and is a predicted model, not a curated record.